GUCCACGCCGUAAACGAUGGGCGCUAGGUGUGGGAGGUGUCGACUCCUCCCGUGCCGAAGCUAACGCAUUAAGCGCCCCGCCUGGGGAGUACGGCCGCAAGGCUAAAACUCAAAGGAAUUGACGGGGGCCCGCACAAGCAGCGGAGCAUGUGGUUUAAUUGGAUGCGACGCCAAGAACCUUACCAAGGCUUGACAUGGUCGGGAAAGCUGGAGAAAUUCAGCCCUCCUUCGGGACUCGAUCACAGGUGGUGCAUGGCUGUCGU
Molecule: ribosomal RNA, 263 nt
Filed under: uncultured bacterium
Lineage: Bacteria
Description: partial 16S ribosomal RNA
Rfam family: Bacterial small subunit ribosomal RNA
Source: RNAcentral